RNAcentral lists this long non-coding RNA (224 nucleotides) under Homo sapiens (human). RNAcentral's name for it is "LHRI_LNC790.1". The record is from RNAcentral. Lineage: Eukaryota; Metazoa; Chordata; Mammalia; Primates; Hominidae.
ACUUUUUUGCUUUCUGGCACAAUAAGAUGUUCCAGGUUUUCUGGUGUUUUCCUGGCUCUAGCCCUGAAUCAGCCAUUUCAUCAAGGAGCCCUGGUUCCUUUUAAUGGAGAAUGAUAUUUAGAAACCAAGAUUUGGGUGCUGUAGGUGCUCAUUCAUAUGGUGUGUUAUUGCUUCCAGUUGGUCCUUUUUAUUAUCCAUUCAUUUGGAUACAAUGGUGAGGGCGC